AAAAGCUUUUAAGGGCAGAUGGUGGAUGCCUUGGGUGAUAGAGGCGAUGAAGGACGUACUAAGCUGCGAUAAGCUAUGGGGAGCUGCUAAGAAGCUUUGAUCCAUAGAUUUCCGAAUGGGGCAACCCAAUACAUAGAGAUAUGUAUUACCUUUAAUGGAGCGAACCUAGCGAAGUGAAACAUCUCAGUAGCUAGAGGAAAAGAAAUCAAUAGAGAUUCUCCUAGUAGCGGCGAGCGAACGGGGAAAAGGGCAAACCAGUAGCUUGCUACUGGGGUUGAGGACUGCAAUAUCCACUUGAAUAAUGUAGCAGAAGUGUUUGGAAAAACACAUCAUAGAGGGUGAUAGUCCCGUAUGCGAAAUAUUAUUCAUAGGUAGCAGGAUCCAGAGUAGGCCAGGACACGUGAAAUCCGGGCUGAAGCCGGGGAGACCACUCUCCAACCCUAAAUACUACUAUCACACCGAUAGCGAACAAGUACCGUGAGGGAAAGGUGAAAAGAACCGCAGUGAGCGGAGUGAAAUAGAACCUGAAACCAUUUGCCUACAAUCAUUCGGAGCCCUAUUGUGAGUCCCUUUGAGAAAUCACGGGGGGGGGGGUAACUCUUUAGUUAUCUCUCCCUUUCCGCCCUUGUUUUCUCUUAUCUUUUUGGUAAGGAGAAUAUUAUGGGACGAGGACAACCUUCAAGUAAUCCAAAUGGAGCAGGAUUUCCAUCUACCACAGGCAACCCUAGUGGUGGUGGUAGAGGCAAUAAUGCACCUGGCGGAAAGAAGUAGAUUGUUGGAAUAACAGAAAAUUCUAAGAUUUUGAGAUGAUUUUGGUGGUUGCGUAGAAAAAUCUGCGGAGACUAGACUAAAGUCUGUCGCACAAAGAUUUUUUCAAGCUCCGCUAAAAGCACUCAAAAGCUGAAUUUAGCUGAUUUUUCAGAGGGAUUCACAAGGGUGACGGACUGCCUUUUGCAUAAUGAUCCUGCGAGUUGUGGUAUCUGGCAAGGUUAAGCACACGCGAAGCCGUAGCGAAAGCGAGUCUGAAAGGGCGUUUAGUCAGAUGCUGCAGACCCGAAGCCAAGUGAUCUAUCCAUGGCCAAGUUGAAGCGAGUGUAAUAGCUCGUGGAGGACUGAACUCGUACCCAUUGAAACGGGUUGGGAUGAGCUGUGGAUAGGGGUGAAAGGCCAAACAAACUUGGUGAUAGCUGGUUCUCUUCGAAAUAUAUUUAGGUAUAGCCUCAAGUGAUAGUAAUAGGGGGUAGAGCUCUGAUUGGGCUAGGGCUGCUCACCGCGGUACCAACCCCUGUCAAACUGCAAAUACCUAUUACCGUAUCUUGGGAGUCAGGCGGUGGGUGAUAAAAUCAAUCGUCAAAAGGGGAACAACCCAGACUACCAACUAAGGUCCCAAAGUUCUAUUCUAAGUGGAAAAUGAUGUGAAGUUACUCAGACAACCAGGAGGUUGGCUUAGAAGCAGCCAUCCUUUAAAGAAAGCGUAACAGCUCACUGGUCUAGUGAUUUUGCGCAGAAAAUAUAACGGGGCUAAGAUAGACACCGAAGUUGUAGAUUGUGCUGAUGCACAGUGGUAGAAGAGCGUUCGUAUCAGCGUUGAAGGCAUACCGGUAAGGAGUGCUGGAGCGAUGCGAAGUGAGCAUGCAGGAAUGAGUAGCGAUAAAAGUGGUGAGAAUCCACUUCGCCGAAAGUCUAAGGUUUCCUACGCGAUGCUCGUCAUCGUAGGGUUAGUCGGGUCCUAAGACAAGUCAGAAAUGGGUAGUCGAUGGAAAAUGGGUUAAUAUUCCCAUACCAACAUUAGUGUGCGAUGGGGGGACGCAUAGGGCUAAGUAGCGUUAGCUGAUGGAAGUGCUAAUUUAAAAGCGUAGAUUGAGAGAUAGGUAAAUCCGCUCUUGUAUUCGAAACUUGAAUAGCUUGUUGCGAUCUUCGGAUCAAGAUGAGUGCUACUGACGCCGUCGUGCCAAGAAAAGCCUCUAAGUUUAGCUAAUGUUGCCCGUACCGCAAACCGACACAGGUAGAUGAGAUGAGUAUUCUAAGGCGCGUGAAAGAACUCUGGUUAAGGAACUCUGCAAACUAGCACCGUAAGUUCGCGAUAAGGUGUGCCUAAGCAAUUAGGUCUCAGCAAAGAGUCCCUCCCGACUGUUUACCAAAAACACAGCACUUUGCAAACUCGUAAGAGGAAGUAUAAGGUGUGACGCCUGCCCGGUGCUCGAAGGUUAAGAGGAUUCGUUAGCAGCAAUGCGAAGCGUUGAAUUGAAGCCCGAGUAAACGGCGGCCGUAACUAUAACGGUCCUAAGGUAGCGAAAUUCCUUGUCGGUUAAAUACCGACCUGCAUGAAUGGCGUAACGAGAUGGGAGCUGUCUCAACCAGGGAUUCAGUGAAAUUGUAGUGGAGGUGAAAAUUCCUCCUACCCGCGGCAAGACGGAGAGACCCCGUGGACCUUUACUACAGCUUGGCACUGCCGAUGGGAGCAUUAUGCGCAGGAUAGGUGGGAGGCUUUGAAAUCUUCACUCUGGUGGAGAUGGAGCCAUCCUUGAGAUACCACCCUUAAUGUUUCUGUCUGCUAACUGGCUAGAGUUAUCCUCUAGCAGGACAAUGCCUGGUGGGUAGUUUGACUGGGGCGGUCGCCUCCUAAAAAGUAACGGAGGCUUGCAAAGGUUGGCUCAUUGCGGUUGGAAAUCGCAAGUAGAGUGUAAUGGCAUAAGCCAGCCUGACUGUAAGACAAACAAGUCGAGCAGAGACGAAAGUCGGUCAUAGUGAUCCGGUGAUUCUGUGUGGAAGGGUCAUCGCUCAAAGGAUAAAAGGUACCCCGGGGAUAACAGGCUGAUCUCCCCCAAGAGCUCACAUCGACGGGGAGGUUUGGCACCUCGAUGUCGGCUCAUCGCAUCCUGGGGCUGGAGCAGGUCCCAAGGGUAUGGCUGUUCGCCAUUUAAAGCGGUACGCGAGCUGGGUUCAGAACGUCGUGAGACAGUUCGGUCCCUAUCUGCCGUGGGCGUAGGAAAGUUGAGGAGAGCUGUCCCUAGUACGAGAGGACCGGGAUGGACACGCCACUGGUGUAAGAGUUGUUCUGCCAAGAGCAUCGCUCUGUAGCUACGCGUGGAUGUGAUAACCGCUGAAAGCAUCUAAGCGGGAAGCCAACUCCAAGAUUAACUUUCCCUGAAGGUCGCAGCAAGACUAGCUGCUUGAUAGGGUAGGUGUGUAAGCAUAGUAAUAUGUUCAGCUGACUACUACUAAUAGACCGUUUGGCUUUUUAUA
This 3246-nucleotide ribosomal RNA is filed under the name Helicobacter cinaedi. RNAcentral describes it as "bacterial LSU rRNA". It matches the Rfam family "Bacterial large subunit ribosomal RNA". Lineage: Bacteria; Pseudomonadati; Campylobacterota; Epsilonproteobacteria; Campylobacterales; Helicobacteraceae. The record is from RNAcentral.